GAUGAAGAACGCAGCGAAAUGCGAUAAGUAAUGUGAAUUGCAGAAUUCAGUGAAUCAUCGAGUCUUUGAACGCACAUUGCGCCCUCUGGUAUUCCGGAGGGCAUGCCUGUCCGAGCGUCAUUGCUGCCCUCAAGCACGGCUUGUGUGUUGGGCCCCGCCCCCCGAUCCCGGGGGGCGGGCCCGAAAGGCAGCGGCGGCACCGCGUCCGGUCCUCGAGCGUAUGGGGCUUUGUCACCCGCUCUGUAGGCCCGGCCGGCGCCUGCCGAUCAACCAAACUUUUUUCCAGGUUGACCUCGGAUCAGGUAGGGAUACCCGCUGAACUUAAGCAUAUCAAUAAGCGGAGGA
Molecule: unclassified non-coding RNA, 345 nt
Filed under: soil metagenome
Description: partial contains 5.8S ribosomal RNA, internal transcribed spacer 2, and large subunit ribosomal RNA
Rfam family: 5.8S ribosomal RNA (bases 1-120)
Source: RNAcentral